RNAcentral lists this ribosomal RNA (253 nucleotides) under uncultured bacterium. Its description in RNAcentral is "partial 16S ribosomal RNA". It matches the Rfam family "Bacterial small subunit ribosomal RNA", at positions 524 to 776 of the family's 1533-position model. The record is from RNAcentral.
UACAGAGGGGGCAAGCGUUAUUCGGAAUUAUUGGGCGUAAAGAGCUCGUAGGCGGUUUGUCGCGUCUGCUGUGAAAACCCGAGGCUCAACCUCGGGCCUGCAGUGGGUACGGGCAGACUAGAGUGCGGUAGGGGAGAUUGGAAUUCCUGGUGUAGCGGUGGAAUGCGCAGAUAUCGAGAGGAACACCAGUGGCGAAGGCGAGUCCCUGGACAACACCUGACACUGAGGCACGAAAGCUAGGGGAGCAAACAGG